CUUGCUUCUCUUGAGAGCGGCGGACGGGUGAGUAAUGCCUAGGAAUCUGCCUGGUAGUGGGGGAUAACGUUCGGAAACGGACGCUAAUACCGCAUACGUCCUACGGGAGAAAGCAGGGGACCUUCGGGCCUUGCGCUAUCAGAUAAGCCUAGGUCGGAUUAGCUAGUUGGUGGGGUAAUGGCUCACCAAGGCGACGAUCCGUAACUGGUCUGAGAGGAUGAUCAGUCACACUGGAACUGAGACACGGUCCAGACUCCUACGGGAGGCAGCAGUGGGGAAUAUUGGACAAUGGGCGAAAGCCUGAUCCAGCCAUGCCGCGUGUGUGAAGAAGGUCUUCGGAUUGUAAAGCACUUUAAGUUGGGAGGAAGGGCAGUAAAUUAAUACUUUGCUGUUUUGACGUUACCGACAGAAAUAAGCACCGG
This 422-nucleotide ribosomal RNA is filed under the name uncultured Pseudomonas sp. RNAcentral's name for it is "bacterial SSU rRNA". It matches the Rfam family "Bacterial small subunit ribosomal RNA", at positions 79 to 496 of the family's 1533-position model. Lineage: Bacteria; Pseudomonadati; Pseudomonadota; Gammaproteobacteria; Pseudomonadales; Pseudomonadaceae. The record is from RNAcentral.